CCUACGGGAGGCAGCAGUCGGGAAUAUUGCGCAAUGGAGGAAACUCUGACGCAGUGACGCCGCGUAUAGGAAGAAGUUUUUAGGAAUGUAAACUCUUGUUGUUAGGGAAGAGAAAGGACAGUACCUAAGGAGGAAGCUCCGGCCAACUACGAGCCAGCAGCCGAGGUAAUACGUAGGGAGCGAGCGAUAUCCGGAAUUAAUGGGUGUAAAGGGUGUGUAGACGGGAAAACAAGUUAGGUGUGAAAUCCCUCGGCUUAACUGAGGAACUGCAGCUAAAACUAUUUUUCUUGAGUGCAGGAGAGGUAAGUGGAAUUCCUAGUGUAGCGGUGAAAUGCAUAGAUAUUAGGAAGAACACCGGUGGCGAAGGCGACUUACUGGACUGUAACUGACGUUGAGGCACGAAAGUGUGGGGAGCAAACAGGAUUAGAUACCCUAGUAGUC
Molecule: ribosomal RNA, 441 nt
Filed under: uncultured bacterium
Lineage: Bacteria
Description: partial 16S ribosomal RNA
Rfam family: Bacterial small subunit ribosomal RNA
Source: RNAcentral